UUGUGAUGUGCUAGCCAGGCACAGCUGGUGGAGAGCGCUUUAAAAUUACUAAACCUUUUUGAGUUUUCAAAAAAAGAUUUGACAAGUAAUGAUGUUUAAUUUAUAUAGCACCUUUCCCAAGCUCAUGGAUGCUACAAUAACAGGUGGUUCAUGUACUUUUGGCUCUUACUGAUGAAACAUGAGGAAUCUAGCAGUGCCCAGCAUGCAGCUCAAAGGUGCAACUCUGAGAUGGCCAUUAAAGAGCCGAAAAUGACUGAAGGAUGCAAGAAAGGAGAGGAUGAAACGGGAGAGCUCUGUCUAGACAGGCGGGUCAUCUGAGUGACUAUAACUGAGCAUCAACAAAGACCCUGAGGCCUUCCGCUUUUAUGCAAAAAAUAAACAUUUAUAUGGAUGGCUUGAGCAUUUCACACUCGGAUAUGGAUAAUGGAUCUGGAUGCGCAGCCUUCAAAACAACUUCAUUCUCCAUUUGCUGAUGCGAACUCGACAUUUGAAAUGGGCAGCGGCAAACAACGAGCUGAUGAUAGAAGAAGCUUCCACGCAUAAUCAUCCAUCAAAGCGACUGUCAAAACCCGCUAUGCUUCUCUGUCUUUAUAACGCUGUUAGAGGACUUUCUAUGACUAAAGAUACAAUAAACAGAUGUGACGAUUGCUGUUGAACAUGACAGUUGUUGCAAGUCUGCAUUUUAAAGUCGUGAACAUAGUCCGUCUGAGCAUAUUUGGGAUGUUUGGACAGAUUGCUUGUACGUGGCGAUGCUCGAUUGGAUUCAUCUUCAUAGACUUCUGGAUAGAGAGGAAUCUGAUUGGUUGCUGUAUUACAAAUGUGAAUGUAAAACAGUUGUAUCUCACCAGCCAGCAGACUUCUAAAAAGAAACGUGUUUGACCCUGAGAGGCGAAGCAUUAACAGAGCAAAAGAGGUAAUUGAGAUGUACUAGACGACUCUUUUUGUGGAACGCUCUUCGCAUUUACUUCAUUGAAAGUGAAAGAUAUGAAAGAAGUAAUCCCAGUAUUACACUUUACCUAUAGCACAUGUGUGGGUGUGUGUGUGCACAUGAACUUCCCCCUCACAGAUCCUCUGUUUAAGUACAUCACGUCUAUGUGUUACACCAGAGAGUGUUUUACUACUGCAGUCCAAGCUGUUGUAGCCUCAUUCUGCUCUUUUUCUUUGUUCUCUCCCUCUCUCCUCCAUCUCUGCAGAUCAUUAAGAGUGUUGUACUGCCACAUACCCAAGAAUAGAGGACAUAAAAAGACAAAUAAGGCCAUAAAAUCUCCUUACGCCUGUGCAUACAAAUACAUUUGCUCACUUUCUCAAUGCCCCUCCUUCACUUUUUUUUCUCCAACAUUCAGUAUCUAUUCUUUCAUUCUUGCUUUAUUUCUGAUAUAAUAUCUUCUACAUGAUUUAUAA
This is a long non-coding RNA of Cyprinus carpio (common carp), 1401 nucleotides long. RefSeq lists it as uncharacterized. NCBI's taxonomy places the organism in Eukaryota, Metazoa, Chordata, Actinopteri, Cypriniformes, Cyprinidae. The record is from RefSeq and is a predicted model, not a curated record.